This 65-nucleotide transfer RNA is filed under the name Dipodomys ordii (Ord's kangaroo rat). It matches the Rfam family "tRNA". From Rfam's summary of the family: Transfer RNA (tRNA) molecules are approximately 80 nucleotides in length. Their secondary structure includes four short double-helical elements and three loops (D, anti-codon, and T loops). Lineage: Eukaryota; Metazoa; Chordata; Mammalia; Rodentia; Heteromyidae. The record is from Rfam by way of RNAcentral.
GGUGGCUCAGUGGUAGAAUGCUUGCCUUGAAUGCAUGAGGCCUUAGGUUCAAUUCCUCAGCACCA